Molecule: ribosomal RNA, 454 nt
Filed under: uncultured bacterium
Lineage: Bacteria
Description: partial 16S ribosomal RNA
Rfam family: Bacterial small subunit ribosomal RNA
Source: RNAcentral
GAUGAACGCUGACAGAAUGCUUAACACAUGCGAGUCAACUUGAACUUCGGUUUGGGUGGCGGACGGGUGAGUAACGCGUAAAGAACUUGCCUCACAGUUAGGGACAACAUUUGGAAACGAAUGCUAAUACCUGAUAUUAUGAUUUUAGGGCAUCCUAGAAUUAUGAAAGCUAUAUGCGCUGUGAGAGAGCUUUGCGUCCCAUUAGCUAGUUGGAGAGGUAACGGCUCACCAAGGCGAUGAUGGGUAGCCGGCCUGAGAGGGUGAACGGCCACAAGGGGACUGAGACACGGCCCUUACUCCUACGGGAGGCAGCAGUGGGGAAUAUUGGACAAUGGACCAAGAGUCUGAUCCAGCAAUUCUGUGUGCACGAUGAAGUUUUUCGGAAUGUAAAGUGCUUUCAGUUGGGAAGAAAAAAAUGACGGUACCAACAGAAGAAGUGACGGCUAAAUACGUG